This 288-nucleotide ribosomal RNA is filed under the name Triticum aestivum (bread wheat). RNAcentral's name for it is "partial small subunit ribosomal RNA". The record is from RNAcentral. Lineage: Eukaryota; Viridiplantae; Streptophyta; Magnoliopsida; Poales; Poaceae.
AUGUUAAGUAGCACCGGCGCCCCGCACAUGUGCGUAACACCGUGGGCAGACAAGGCAGCGUACAUGUCGUCAGCCGCCGGCGUACGGAUGCAGACAUUGACGCCGCCCCGCGCAGCCACGCCCCACGUCAGGGUCCACCCAUUGCAGUGGAACAUGGGGAGUGACCAUAGGUACACGGGCUCGCUCCCGACCCCCCACUGGAGUAGGAGGCCCACGGUGCUCAGGUACGCGCCACGGUGGCUGUACACGACGCCCUUGAGAGCCGAGCUUGUCGUGCCGGAGGUGUAG